GCACAAGCGGAGGAGCAUGUGGUUAAUUCGAUGAUACGCGAGGAACUUACCUGGGCUCGAACGUAAGAUGACUGUAGGUGAAAGCUUACAUCUCUUCGGAGCAUUUUACGAGGUGCUGCAUGGUUGUCGUCAGCUCGUGCCGUGAGGUGUCGGGUUAAGUCCCAUAACGAGCGCAACCCCUACCUUUAGUCGCCAUCAGGUUAAGCUGGGGACUCUAAAGGAACUGCCUACGCAAGUAGUGAGGAAGCGGGGAUGACGUCAAAUCAGCACGGCCCUUACGUCCAGGGCUACACACGUGCUACAAUGGCCGAUACAGAGGGCAGCUACCUGGUGACAGGAUGCAAAUCUCCAAAGUCGGUCUCAGUUCGGAUCGGAGUCUGCAACCCGACUCCGUGAAGUUGGAUUCGCUAGUAAUCGCGCAUCAGCCAUGGCGCGGUGAAUACGUUCCCGGGCCUU
RNAcentral lists this ribosomal RNA (456 nucleotides) under uncultured Sphingobacteriales bacterium. RNAcentral describes it as "bacterial SSU rRNA". It matches the Rfam family "Bacterial small subunit ribosomal RNA", at positions 923 to 1382 of the family's 1533-position model. The record is from RNAcentral. Lineage: Bacteria; Pseudomonadati; Bacteroidota; Sphingobacteriia; Sphingobacteriales.